UUUGCUGUCAAUGCUUCAGUUGUUUUUGCUGUCUCCUCUCAGUCCACUCCAAAGAACUUUCCAAGAAGAGAGUUGAAAAUCACAUUAAAAUAAUUGCAAUUUGUGAGCAUUACAGGCCACAGAAGUUAAUAAAACAGUUCAUCAAAUGUUAUUGUUUAUUUCUCUAUCAUUUCUACUGAUCUCAUUCCCACUGGAGUAUUGUAUUAUAACUUCAAACCUCUUGAAUGAGAGGGAAAUUAAUGACACAUACAAUGUUUCUAAAGAACUAAUGAAAUGUCACAAUUUGAAGAUACUUCUUUGUAAUACUCAAAACAAUUAGUGAGGAAGAGGCACACUCCCAGGAGCCGUCAUUGGUUUUCCAUUAGAUCCAAUCAGUGGUCUUGAAGCACUUGAUGAACUUACAUCACUUCUCUGAAACAAAAAAUGGAAAAAUCAAUUGAAUUAACAUGACAAAG
This is a long non-coding RNA of Bemisia tabaci, 455 nucleotides long. RefSeq lists it as uncharacterized. The record is from RefSeq and is a predicted model, not a curated record. Lineage: Eukaryota; Metazoa; Arthropoda; Insecta; Hemiptera; Aleyrodidae.